AUUUUUAUUUUGCUCUUAAAUGUCAAAAAAUUACUGUCAAGAGACAGGAAUGCAUGAGAUAGAAAUGGCUCAAACAUCUUCACAUGAAACACGCAUAUUCAAAUUUCAUUCACAAGUUUUGAAUCCGACAUCUACAGUUACAUAGUUAAAACUUUUCCAUUCAUAAAUCACAAUUUUUUUUUUUCUUUAAACAGUAGUUGCCAUUACAUAAGCAACGAACAACUUACUGCAUAUUAUUAAUUUCAUAAAUUCCGUAAUAUUUCGUUGAGUAAUAGCAACUUGGUUUUUUUUGUCUAAAUUUUC
This is a long non-coding RNA of Nanorana parkeri, 303 nucleotides long. RefSeq lists it as uncharacterized. The transcript is spliced from 3 exons. The record is from RefSeq and is a predicted model, not a curated record. NCBI's taxonomy places the organism in Eukaryota, Metazoa, Chordata, Amphibia, Anura, Dicroglossidae.